RNAcentral lists this ribosomal RNA (1319 nucleotides) under uncultured Alphaproteobacteria bacterium. Its description in RNAcentral is "bacterial SSU rRNA". It matches the Rfam family "Bacterial small subunit ribosomal RNA", at positions 27 to 1393 of the family's 1533-position model. Lineage: Bacteria; Pseudomonadati; Pseudomonadota; Alphaproteobacteria. The record is from RNAcentral.
GAACGUACGCUGGCGGCACGCCUAACACAUGCAAGUCGAACGAAGUAGCAAUACUUAGUGGCAGACGGGUGAGUAACAUGUAGGUAUCUGCCCUUUGGCCUGGAAUAACACGAGGAAACUUGUGCUAAUACCGGAUAAGUCUUUACAGAGAAAGCUUUAUGCACCAUUGGAUGAGCCUGCACUUGAUUAGUUUGUUGGUGGGGUAAUGGCCUACCAAGACUGUGAUCAAUAGCUGAUUUGAGAGGAUGAUCAGCCACAUUGGGACUGAGACACGGCCCAAACUCCUACGGGAGGCAGCAGUGGGGAAUCUUGCACAAUGGAGGAAACUCUGAUGCAGCGAUGCCGCGUGAGUGAAGAAGGCCCUUGGGUUGUAAAGCUCUUUCGUCGGGGAAGAAAAUGACUGUACCCGAAUAAGAAGGUCCGGCUAACUUCGUGCCAGCAGCCGCGGUAAUACGAAGGGACCUAGCGUAGUUCGGAAUUACUGGGCUUAAAGAGUUCGUAGGUGGUUGAAAAAGUUAGUGGUGAAAUCCCAGAGCUUAACUCUGGAACUGCCAUUAAAACUUUUCAGCUAGAGUAUGAUAGAGGAAAGCAGAAUUUCUAGUGUAGAGGUGAAAUUCGUAGAUAUUAGAAAGAAUACCAAUUGCGAAGGCAGCUUUCUGGAUCAUUACUGACACUGAGGAACGAAAGCAUGGGUAGCGAAGAGGAUUAGAUACCCUCGUAGUCCAUGCCGUAAACGAUGUGUGUUAGACGUUGGAAAUUUAUUUUCAGUGUCGCAGCGAAAGCGAUAAACACACCGCCUGGGGAGUACGACCGCAAGGUUAAAACUCAAAUGAAUUGACGGGGACCCGCACAAGUAGUGGAGCAUGUGGUUUAAUUCGAAGAUACGCGCAGAACCUUACCAACACUUGACAUGUUCGUCGCGACUCUAAGAGAUUAGAGUUUUCGGCUCGGCCGGACGAAACACAGGUGCUGCAUGGCUGUCGUCAGCUCGUGUCGUGAGAUGUUGGGUUAAGUCCCGCAACGAGCGCAACCCUCACUUUUAGUUGCCAUCAUUAAGUUGGGCACUCUGAAAGAACUGCCAGUGAUAAGCUGGAGGAAGGUGGGGAUGACGUCAAGUCCUCAUGGCCCUUACGUGUUGGGCUACACACGUGCUACAAUGGUAUCUACAACAGGAAGCAAGACUGCGAAGUUAAGCAAAUCCCUAAAAGAUACCUCAGUUCGGAUUGCACUCUGCAACUCGAGUGCAUGAAGCUGGAAUUACUAGUAAUCGUGGAUCAGCGUGCCACGGUGAAUGCGUUCCCGGGUCUUGUACACACCGC